RNAcentral lists this ribosomal RNA (435 nucleotides) under uncultured bacterium. RNAcentral describes it as "bacterial SSU rRNA". It matches the Rfam family "Bacterial small subunit ribosomal RNA", at positions 958 to 1385 of the family's 1533-position model. The record is from RNAcentral.
AACGCGAAGAACCUUACCCGGGUUUGAAUUGCAGUGGUUGUAGUCGGUAGAGAUAUCGGUGAGGGGGCAACCCCGCUGCUGUGAAGGUGCUGCAUGGCUGUCGUCAGCUCGUGCCGUGAGGUGUUGGGUUAAGUCCCGCAACGAGCGCAACCCUUAUCCUUAGUUGCCAGCAAGUAAAGUUGGGCACUCUGGGGAGACUGCCGACACAAGUCGGAGGAAGGUGGGGAUGACGUCAAGUCAGCAUGGCCCUUACGUCCGGGGCUACACACGUGCUACAAUGGCUGGUACAACGGGCAGCGAGACCGCGAGGUGGAGCGAAUCCCUUGAAAGCCAGCCUCAGUUCGGAUUGUAGGCUGCAACUCGCCUACAUGAAGUUGGAAUCACUAGUAACCGCAGAUCAGCUACGCUGUGGUGAAUACGUUCCCGGGCCUUGUA